RNAcentral lists this small RNA (847 nucleotides) under Pongo abelii (Sumatran orangutan). Its description in RNAcentral is "retained intron". Lineage: Eukaryota; Metazoa; Chordata; Mammalia; Primates; Hominidae. The record is from RNAcentral.
UGACUUGCUGUUGAGACUCUGAAAUCUGAUUUUCUAAGAAUGAUGGGUGGGAACAACAUAAUGCAGGAUAUGAGAAGCACUACUGACUUGGUCUUCCUCCUUUCAGGGCCAGCACCUUCUCUCUAAAGCCCAAGAGGAGUUUGAGGAAAACUAGGUGUCUCUGUUCACUCCAGGCUGAAGUUACAGGUUUGAGGAAAGGUGUAUAAAAAAUGGAAUCUGUCUUGGAGGACAUCAGAAGUUGAAUUUUCCAAGUCCUUGGACAACCUAGCUGUUGAAAAGCUUUCUGGAUUUGGGGGGUCUUUCAGAUGUACCUUAAAGUGUUAGCAGACACAGAUUAAGACACUGGGAGCCAAUGAAACAUAGCAGUUGAGGGUUUGCUAUGUAUCACAUUUCUGUAUUUUAUCACCUCCUUCCUGCAACAUUAUUUCUGUGGAAUCUACCUGCCCUUUUGUUUUUUAGAUACAAGGGCUUGGUUUUGUUACCAAGGCUGGUUUCAAGGCCCUAGCUUUAAGAGAUCCUCCCACCACAGAUUUCCAAAGUGCUGGGAUUGCAGGUAUGAUUAGUGGCACCCAGACUUUGCUGCCUUUCUUACAUGAUCAAGGCCCGGAACCCAAACUCAGGCACUGCAUAGAUGACCAGUUUGGUAAACUACUGACCUAGCUUGUUGCCAAUUGUGAUUGAGCUUCCCAUAACUCCACUUCGUUUCUGUUUCUCUGUAUACAGACACCUUCUAUUCCCAUCAUGAGCCUUUAGGUCUCCAUUUGCAUAUUGCAAAUACUAUGUUCCGUGUAGGUAGCUCAUUCAGUGCCUUGCUCUUCACUUCAAAAAAGGUUCCCUUGAGGACUGG